GAUGAACGCUGGCGGCGUGCCUAAUACAUGCAAGUCGAGCGAACAGACGCAGUACUUGCUCCUUCGACGUUAGCGGCGGCGGGGAGCGUAACACGUGGGUAACCUACCUAUACGCCUGGGAUAACUUCGGAAAACCGCAGCUACUCACAGAUAACCUGUUCAACCUCAUUGUUCAAUAGUGAAAGCCGGUCUUGCUGUCACUUAUAGAUGGAUCCGCGCCGCAUUAGCUAGUUGGUAAGGUAACGGCUUAGCAGGGCAACGAUGCGUAGCCGACCUGAGAGGGUGAUCGGCCACCCUGGAACUGAGACACGGUCCAGACUCCUACGGGAGGGAGCAGUAGGGAAUCUUCCGCAAUGGGCGAAAGCCUGACGGAGCAACGCCGCGUGAGUGAAGAGGGUCUACGGAUCGUAAAUCGUUGUUAGUAGGGAAGAACAAAUGUGUAAGUAACUAGGCACGUCUUGACGGUACCUAAUCAGAAAGCCACGGCUAACUACGUG
RNAcentral lists this ribosomal RNA (497 nucleotides) under uncultured bacterium. RNAcentral describes it as "partial 16S ribosomal RNA". It matches the Rfam family "Bacterial small subunit ribosomal RNA", at positions 28 to 507 of the family's 1533-position model. The record is from RNAcentral.